UACGAAGGGUGCUAGCGUUGUUCGGAAUCACUGGGCGUAAAGCGCGCGUAGGCGGCUUGUCAAGUCAGGGGUGAAAUCCCACAGCUUAACUGUGGAACUGCCUUUGAAACUGUCAAGCUGGAGUGUCGGAGGGGAUGGCGGAAUUGCUAAUGUAGAGGUGAAAUUCGUAGAUAUUCGCAAGAACACCAGUGGCGAAGGCGGCUCACUGGCCCGAUACUGACGCUGAGGCACGAAAGCGUGGGGAGCAAACAGG
RNAcentral lists this ribosomal RNA (253 nucleotides) under uncultured bacterium. Its description in RNAcentral is "partial 16S ribosomal RNA". It matches the Rfam family "Bacterial small subunit ribosomal RNA", at positions 524 to 776 of the family's 1533-position model. The record is from RNAcentral.